Molecule: long non-coding RNA, 93 nt
Organism: Thalassophryne amazonica
Lineage: Eukaryota; Metazoa; Chordata; Actinopteri; Batrachoidiformes; Batrachoididae
Exons: 3
Source: RefSeq, a predicted model, not a curated record
UGUACCAGGCAAUAAGCAUGUUUAUUUCUGGUGUCAGGUUGGACAUUUUAACAUGGGCUUCAAUGGAGAGUGACUCACGUUUGGAGCCAGUCU